Molecule: ribosomal RNA, 1906 nt
Filed under: human gut metagenome
Description: bacterial LSU rRNA
Rfam family: Bacterial large subunit ribosomal RNA
Source: RNAcentral
UCAAGCUAAAAAGAGCGCAAGGGGAAUGCCUUGGCAUCAGGAGCCGAAGAAGGACGUGACAAGCUGCGAUAAGCUGCGGUGAGGAGCAAAUAUCCUUUGACCCGCAGAUCUCCGAAUGGGGCAACCCGGCUGGACAAUAUCCAGUCAUCCUGCAUUGAACAAAAUAGGUGUAGGAAGGGAACCGUCUGAACUGAAACAUCUAAGUAGGACGAGGAAGAGACAUCAACCGAGAUUCCGCAAGUAGUGGCGAGCGAACGCGGAAGAGGCCAAACCGGAGGAAUAAUUCUCCGGGGUUGCGGACAGUCAUUUAGCAGAAGAUAUCUAACCGAAGGGUCUGGGAAGGCCCACCACAGAGGGUGAGAGUCCCGUAGGUGAAAGAGAAGGCUGUGAGACUGAAUCCAGAGUACCGCAGGACACGUGAAACCCUGCGGGAAACAGGGGGGACCACCCUCCAAGCCUAAAUACUACCUGAUGACCGAUAGAGGAGCAGUACCGUGAGGGAAAGGUGAAAAGGACCCCGGGAGGGGAGUGAAAGAGAACCUGAAACCUUGUGCUUACAAGCACUCAAAGCCCGUUAAAGGGUGAUGAGGUACCUUUUGUAGAAUGGUCCGGCGAGUUAUUGUUACUGGCAAGCUUAAGGCAUUCAGUGCCGGAGGCGCAGGGAGACCGAGUCUGAAUAGGGCGUAUGAAGUCAGUGGCAAUAGACCCGAAACCGGGUGACCUAUCCAUGGGCAGGUUGAAGUGGGGGUAAAACCCCAUGGAGGACCGAACGCACGCCCGUUGCAAUGGUCGGCGAUGACCUGUGGAUAGCGGUGAAAUUCCAAUCGAACUCGGAGAUAGCUGGUUCUCCCCGAAAUAGCUUUAGGGCUAGCGUUGGCUUAGAUUACCGGAGGUAAAGCACUGAAUGGGCUAGGGGCCGAUAAGGUUACUGAACCCUAUCAAACUCUGAAUGCCGGAUAAUUGAUGGCCAGCAGUCAGUCUACGUGAGAUAAGUCUCGUGGACAAAAGGGAAACAGCCCAGACCCACAGCUAAGGUCCCAAAGAUACGCUAAGUGGAAAACGAUGUGGAGUUGCGAAAACAACCAGGAUGUUGGCUUAGAAGCAGCCACUCAUUAAAAGAGUGCGUAAUAGCUCACUGGUCGAGUGACUCUGCGCGGAAAAUAUAACGGGGCUAAGCGUAACACCGAAGCUUGGGCUGCACAGCAAUGUGCGGGGUAGGGGAGCGUCGAAUAUGGGGUGAAGUCGCAGCGGAAGCAGCGGUGGACUGUAUUCGAGUGAGAAUGCCGGAAUGAGUAGCGAGAAUUAUGUGGGAAUCAUAAUGGCCGAAAAUCUAAGGUUUCCUGGGGAAGGUUCGUCCGCCCAGGGUAAGCCGGGAGCUAAGGCGAGGCCGGAAGGCGUAGUCGAUGCACAUACGGUUGAAAUUCCGUAGCCACCGAACCUUAAGUACACUGACACAUGGAGAUAGCGGGACCCGGGCGUUGGUUGACCCGGGCGUAAGGGACCGAACUUUAGUAGGGAAGUCCGCGAUGCUCUGUGGCGAGAAAAGGUGUAUGGUAUGCUAAGGUGCCCGUACCGCAAACCGACACAGGUAGAUGAGGAGAGAAUCCUAAGGCCAACGGGAGAAGGGUUGUUAAGGAACUCGGCAAAAUGACCCCGUAACUUCGGGAUAAGGGGAGCCUCCUACGGGAGGCCGCAGCGAAUAGGCCCAAGCGACUGUUUACCAAAAACACAGGUCUCUGCUAAAUCGAAAGAUGACGUAUAGGGGCUGACGCCUGCCCGGUGCUGGAAGGUUAAGAGGAGAUGUUAGCCGCAAGGCGAAGCAUUGAAUCGAAGCCCCAGUAAACGGCGGCCGUAACUAUAACGGUCCUAAGGUAGCGAAAUUCCUUGUCAGGUAAGUUCUGACCCG